UACGAAGGGGGCUAGCGUUGCUCGGAAUCACUGGGCGUAAAGGGUGCGUAGGCGGGUCUUUUAAGUCAGGGGUGAAAUCCUGGAGCUCAACUCCAGAACUGCCUUUUGAUACUGAGGAUCUUGAGUUUCGGGAGAGGUGAGUGGAACUGCGAGUGUAGAGGUGAAAAUUCGUAGAUAUUCGCAAGAACACCAGUGGCGAAGGCGGCUCACUGGCCCGAUACUGACGCUGAGGCACGGAAAGCGUGGGGGAGCAAACA
RNAcentral lists this ribosomal RNA (257 nucleotides) under uncultured bacterium. RNAcentral's name for it is "partial 16S ribosomal RNA". It matches the Rfam family "Bacterial small subunit ribosomal RNA", at positions 524 to 774 of the family's 1533-position model. The record is from RNAcentral.